Dendronephthya gigantea is the source of this 350-nucleotide long non-coding RNA. RefSeq lists it as uncharacterized. The record is from RefSeq and is a predicted model, not a curated record. NCBI's taxonomy places the organism in Eukaryota, Metazoa, Cnidaria, Anthozoa, Malacalcyonacea, Nephtheidae. The transcript has 4 exons.
ACUGUUGAAUAUGAUGAUAGUUUGGUGAAAUUAUGGACAGAGGAAGAACAGAAUGUGUUGAUUACGCGAGAAAAAACCAAAGUGUUGCCGUUGUCUUGGGAGGCCAAGUAUGUUCAAAAUCUAUUCUAGCUCGAGGAGUUAAGACAUAACAUUGCAGCCGCAGAAUCCGACAAGCAUGAGACCAUAACAGAUCUUGUGAAGAAACGAAAAGCCACCUUGAAAGCUAUUGUGUCAAUCGAGAAAAGUCGGAAAAUGAAGCAAAGAUGGAUAUUUGGCGAGGCAAUGUUUAAUUUUGCCGCUCUAACUGUUGAAAAAACAAGGAGAGAGCGUACAAUCGAACGGAUAUAUGC